Long non-coding RNA from Chelonia mydas (Green sea turtle), 1309 nucleotides. RefSeq lists it as uncharacterized. The record is from RefSeq and is a predicted model, not a curated record. The transcript is spliced from 3 exons. NCBI's taxonomy places the organism in Eukaryota, Metazoa, Chordata, Testudines, Cheloniidae.
GUCUUGUUUUGAUGUGAUGAGCAGGCAGCCCUUUGGCGGUGGACAGAACUUCAGAGAGUUCCAUAACUUGUUUUCCCCCCAAUCUGGUUGCAGGCAGAACUUGUUACUACUUCUUGCAGCAGUAAUUUAUCUGCUAUCAGAUGCAACAGGAAGUGGCUCCCUCCAGCCCACAACACUGUGGAUCCCAGUUGCUGUAGAGGGACUUCCACAGGGUGAGAGAGAAAGUAAGGCACAGAGCAGGAGCCUAACCUGCUUGUCCCUUUCUACAGCUUUGUGCUCCUUUCUGCUCACAGAAGAAAUGGGGAGCAUUUCAGCCUAAAUAAUCCUCAGAUCAUCUUGUGAAGAACUACCACCAUUUUAAAGGAUUCACAGACCAGGAAGCUCUGGAACUGAGAGAGGAGAGAGCCUCACAUGGAGUCUGGCUGAAAACAUUAGUGAGGAGGAGCUGUUUGGUACGACUUUAAAUUGUCUUGUAAUUAUGGAGACAUGGUUAAAGGAUCCCUGCCUGAUUCAGUUCUCAUGAAGGACCUUCUCUGAGGGUGAAGCAGGACUGUACAGUGAUGGAGACUAUUGUCUGUUGGGCCCCUGCUUCAUUUGUUGCAGAAGCCUGGAAGGUGUGUGGUGAAUUAGGCAAGAGAUUGCAGGAAGAGAAAGUAUGGUCUCAUAGUUAAGGCAGUUGAUGCUGCCCUGAGAACUGGACUCUAGCCCUGCCUCUGCUACAGAGUUCCUUCGUGGUACUCAGCAAGUCACUUAACCAAACUUUUCAUAAGUGGUUAUUAAGGCAUGUGUUCCUCACGUUCUGGGUGCCCGAAUUGAGUUCUUGGGGUCUGAUUUGCAGAAGUGCAGGGCAUUCACAGCUGCAACUCAAGUCAAUGGGAGCUGUGCUUUGAACAUACUAAGUGCUAUGUAAUUCGAAGUACUCUGAAAAAAUCAAGUCCUAGGGAUCUCCAACUGGGCAAAAUUAUUGGAUUUUUUUUACCUUAAUCUCACCGUAUUUCAGUUCCCCAGCUGUGCAACGGGGAUAUUAAUACCCACUUGCCUCACAAGAGUGUUGAGAAAAUAAAUUCAUUAAUGUUUGUGUAGCACUCAGAUAUGAGUGAUAUCCGCGAUGAACACCAAAGAAAAGCACACGAAGAAAUAAAUAAUUCAGUCUUCAGAGCAGAGUUUGAAUAGCAUGGAGUAAAUAAGGCCUAUGGCUACACGUUGAACAAUGAGAAAAAAAAUAAAAUAUUGAAUAGCUGCUCACUACGUAAGCACUGUCCAUUCUACACCCUGAAUGAGCCAGGAGUCCUGUAGAAAAAAUAGUACA